This 440-nucleotide ribosomal RNA is filed under the name uncultured bacterium. Its description in RNAcentral is "partial 16S ribosomal RNA". It matches the Rfam family "Bacterial small subunit ribosomal RNA", at positions 338 to 795 of the family's 1533-position model. The record is from RNAcentral.
CCUACGGGCGGCAGCAGUGGGGAAUAUUGCACAAUGGGGGAAACCCUGAUGCAGCGACGCCGCGUGAGCGAUGAAGUAUUUCGGUAUGUAAAGCUCUAUCAGCAGGGAAGAAGAUGACGGUACCUGACUAAGAAGCCCCGGCUAACUACGUGCCAGCAGCCGCGGUAAUACGUAGGGGGCAAGCGUUAUCCGGAUUUACUGGGUGUAAAGGGAGCGUAGACGGCGAUGCAAGCCAGAUGUGAAAGCCCGGGGCUCAACCCCGGGACUGCAUUUGGAACUGUGUGGCUGGAGUGUCGGAGAGGCAGGCGGAAUUCCUAGUGUAGCGGUGAAAUGCUUAGAUAUCAGGAGGAACAUCGGUGGCGUAAGCGCUUUACUGGGCCGUAAUUGACGCUGAGGAACGAAAGCCAGGGUAGCAAAUGGGAUUAGAUACCCUGGUAGUC